RNAcentral lists this transfer RNA (74 nucleotides) under Pseudomonadota bacterium. RNAcentral's name for it is "tRNA-Val". It matches the Rfam family "tRNA". Rfam says of the family: Transfer RNA (tRNA) molecules are approximately 80 nucleotides in length. RNAcentral also lists the same sequence under 1 other name. Lineage: Bacteria; Pseudomonadati; Pseudomonadota. The record is from RNAcentral.
GGGCGCGUAGCUCAGCUGGUUAGAGCGCACGGUUCACAUCCGUGAGGUCACAGGUUCGAAUCCUGUCGCGCCCA